AGUGAACGCUGGCGGUAGGCCUAACACAUGCAAGUCGAACGGCAGCACAGGAGAGCUUGCUCUCUGGGUGGCGAGUGGCGGACGGGUGAGGAAUACAUCGGAAUCUACUCUGUCGUGGGGGAUAACGUAGGGAAACUUACGCUAAUACCGCAUACGACCUACGGGUGAAAGCAGGGGACCUUCGGGCCUUGCGCGAUUGAAUGAGCCGAUGUCGGAUUAGCUAGUUGGCGGGGUAAAGGCCCGCCAAGGCGACGAUCCGUAGCUGGUCUGAGAGGAUGAUCAGCCACACUGGAACUGAGACACGGUCCAGACUCCUACGGGAGGCAGCAGUGGGGAAUAUUGGACAAUGGGCGCAAGCCUGAUCCAGCCAUACCGCGUGGGUGAAGAAGGCCUUCGGGUUGUAAAGCCCUUUUGUUGGGAAAGAAAUCCAGCUGGCUAAUACCCGGUUGGGAUGACGGUACCCAAAGAAUAAGCACCGGCUAACUUCGUGCCAGCAGCCGCAGUAA
Molecule: ribosomal RNA, 506 nt
Filed under: uncultured bacterium
Lineage: Bacteria
Description: partial 16S ribosomal RNA
Rfam family: Bacterial small subunit ribosomal RNA
Source: RNAcentral